RNAcentral lists this ribosomal RNA (420 nucleotides) under uncultured bacterium. RNAcentral describes it as "bacterial SSU rRNA". It matches the Rfam family "Bacterial small subunit ribosomal RNA", at positions 362 to 773 of the family's 1533-position model. The record is from RNAcentral.
UUGUUCGCAAUGGGCGCAAGCCUGACGACGCAACGCCGCGUGGAGGACGAAGAUCUUCGGGUCGUAAACUCCUUUCGAUCGGGAAGAACGCCUUCCGGGUGAACAAUCCGGAAGGGUGACGGUACCGAGAGAAGAAGCACCGGCUAACUCUGUGCCAGCAGCCGCGGUAAGACAGAGGGUGCAAACGUUGCUCGGAAUUACUGGGCGUAAAGCGCGUGUAGGCGGGCUUGUAAGUUGGACGUGAAAGCCCUGGGCUCAACCCAGGAAUUGCAUCCAAAACUACAAGUCUAGAGUGAUGGAGAGGGUAGCAGAAUUCCUGGUGUAGAGGUGAAAUUCGUAGAUAUCAGGAGGAACACCGGUGGCGAAGGCGGCUACCUGGACAUCAACUGACGCUGAGACGCGAAAGCGUGGGGAGCAAAC